AGGGAAUCUUCCGCAAUGGACGAAAGUCUGACGGAGCAACGCCGCGUGAACGAAGAAGGUCUUCGGAUCGUAAAGUUCUGUUGUUAGGGAAGAACACGUACCAUUCGAAUAGGGUGGUACCUUGACGGUACCUAACGAGAAAGCCCCGGCUAACUACGUGCCAGCAGCCGCGGUAAUACGUAGGGGGCAAGCGUUGUCCGGAAUUAUUGGGCGUAAAGCGCGCGCAGGCGGUUCUUUAAGUCUGAUGUGAAAUCUUGCGGCUCAACCGCAAGCGGUCAUUGGAAACUGGAGAACUUGAGGACAGAAGAGGAGAGUGGAAUUCCACGUGUAGCGGUGAAAUGCGUAGAGAUGUGGAGGAACACCAGUGGCGAAGGCGACUCUCUGGUCUGUAACUGACGCUGAGGCGCGAAAGCGUGGGUAGCGAAC
Molecule: ribosomal RNA, 426 nt
Filed under: uncultured bacterium
Lineage: Bacteria
Description: bacterial SSU rRNA
Rfam family: Bacterial small subunit ribosomal RNA
Source: RNAcentral